CUUCACAAACCUUCCGCCUAUCAUACCAUAGGUCAACCGUGAUUCAGCAAAGUCAAACCGUUGGCGGUUUUCCUUGAAGUGAAGGUCCUUCUUUAUGCCAGUGAAGGUUGAAUUGGAUUCAAGCAGCACAAAUUCUGACACAUAUGGGCUAAGCUCGUGCCAACGGAUAUCAAGGAUGUCAAGCUCAUUGCUGAAGAGCACAGCAUCGAAGACACGGCGUGGAGUCUCCC
This 230-nucleotide long non-coding RNA is filed under the name Sorghum bicolor (sorghum). RNAcentral's name for it is "long non-coding RNA (SBIC_LNC007292)". Lineage: Eukaryota; Viridiplantae; Streptophyta; Magnoliopsida; Poales; Poaceae. The record is from RNAcentral.